This 468-nucleotide ribosomal RNA is filed under the name uncultured bacterium. Its description in RNAcentral is "partial 16S ribosomal RNA". It matches the Rfam family "Bacterial small subunit ribosomal RNA", at positions 28 to 507 of the family's 1533-position model. The record is from RNAcentral.
GACGAACGCUGGCGGCGUGCUUAACACAUGCCAGUCGAACGGAAAGGCCCUGCUUUUGUGGGGUGCUCGAGUGGCGAACGGGUGAGUAACACGUGAGUAACCUGCCCUUGACUUUGGGAUAACUUCAGGAAACUGGGGCUAAUACCGGAUAGGAGCUCCUGCUGCAUGGUGGGGGUUGGAAAGUUUCGGCGGUUGGGGAUGGACUCGCGGCUUAUCAGCUUGUUGGUGGGGUAGUGGCUUACCAAGGCUUUGACGGGUAGCCGGCCUGAGAGGGUGACCGGCCACAUUGGGACUGAGAUACGGUCCAGACUCCUACGGGAGGCAGCAGUGGGGAAUAUUGCACAAUGGGCGGAAGCCUGAUGCAGCAACGCCGCGUGCGGGAUGACGGCCUUCGGGUUGUAAACCGCUUUCGCCUGUGACGAAGCGUGAGUGACGGUAAUGGGUAAAGAAGCACCGGCUAACUACGUG